UACAGAGGUGGCAAGCGUUGUUCGGAAUUACUGGGCGUAAAGGGCUCGUAGGCGGCCAACUAAGUCAGACGUGAAAUCCCUCGGCUUAACCGGGGAACUGCGUCUGAUACUGGUUGGCUUGAAUCCGGGAGAGGGAUGUGGAAUUCCAGGUGUAGCGGUGAAAUGCGUAGAUAUCUGGAGGAACACCGGUGGCGAAGGCGGCAUCCUGGACCGGUAUUGACGCUGAGGAGCGAAAGCCAGGGGAGCAAACGGG
Molecule: ribosomal RNA, 253 nt
Filed under: uncultured bacterium
Lineage: Bacteria
Description: partial 16S ribosomal RNA
Rfam family: Bacterial small subunit ribosomal RNA
Source: RNAcentral